Long non-coding RNA from Homo sapiens (human), 618 nucleotides. NCBI's taxonomy places the organism in Eukaryota, Metazoa, Chordata, Mammalia, Primates, Hominidae. The record is from Ensembl.
GUAGACUGCGGCCGAGACGGGGAGGGGGAAGCCUCGCCUGGGGGGCGGCAGUGGCCUGGGCGGCUCUCCGGCUGCUGUUGUAUGGCUGCACGUUGGCGCUACCGGACGGGAUGCUGUAUCCCCGAGAGAGCCCGUCGUGGCAGCGCAAGCAGCUGGACGGCCUCUGAAGCUUCCGCGCCGACUUCUCCGACAACCGACGCCGGGGCUUCGAGGAGCAGAGGUACCGGCGACCGCUGUCGGAGGCGCGGACUCGGGGCAGGGCCAGGAGUCGCCCGGAAGCCCGGCGGUGGGAAUGGGUCAGGCCCCACCGUGGACAUGCCGGUUCCCUCCAGCUUCAACGACAUCGGCCAGGGCUGGCGGCUGCGGCAUUUUGUCAGCUGGUUGUGGUAUGAACGGGAGGUGACCCUGCUGGAGCGAUGGAUCCAGGACCUGUGCACAAGAGUGGUGCUGAGGAUUGGCAGUGCCCACUUCUAUGCCAUCGUGCUACGCAGGACUGCUGUGGUCUCUGCUUCUAUACACGACACCCCCCACCUACAUCGAUGACGUCACCGUCACCACCGGCGUGAAGCGAGACAGUGGUGAGGGCUUCUGGACUGGAUGGAGGACCUGAAGACGUGA